UGUGAACAGGGACCACGUGUCUCCUGUGUACCAGGUGGCUCGCUGGGCCAGAGCAGCCAGGCUGGGGGCCACACAGCACCUACCCUCAAGUUCACGUCCAGCCAGAGAGCACGUAAAGUCUGCAGAGUGCGAGGACAAGGGACGUGAACAAAGAAUGGUGGUCUGGGGGACAAGUACUUUGGGAAGCGUGAGAAGAUGUCUUGAGGGAGACAUCUGGAGGUGGCCAGGCCAGAUCUGCGUGAAGACUAGUCGAGUGCAGCAGUGAGAAGGGGGAAAGAGUAGAACAAGGAGUCCCAUCGGCCUGCGGUCUUUACAAGCCCUGUUCCCUCGUCCUGAGACAACUUUCCUUCCAAACUUGCUGGACCGAAGCUUCGACCUUCAAGGCUCACUGCUUGCGUUCCCGACGCUGUGGCGCCUCCCUGCCCCGCAAAGCCUUCCCCCUACAGACUGAGAGGGCUCAGCCCAGAGCCCGCCUGUGUCACUGCCCCUCUGAGCCCUGCCGGGACGGUCCGUGGUCCUGUCUCUCCUCCAUAGACCCUGAUCCCGAGGACAGGGACCGCUGCUCAGGCCCUUACGCCUGGCCCAGGGCUCGUGCCUGCUGCAUUCAACAGAAUCAAGGCCAAAAUCCAUCCUUUACCCCUCCGACAAAAGCACAGCAGGUGGCUUUCUCCUCCUGGUCCAAAAUGGCUGCUUGAGCUUCAGCCAUCACUUCUGCAUUCCAGCCAUUAGGAAACAGGAAGAGCUCUUUCUACAUCACAUGCUGGCUCCUCUGAUCUCCCAGCUCCAUCCAGGAUCAAGUUAGAAGCUAGGAAACAAUCACCUGGAGUCGCUUAAUGCCAUUUCCCUGGGAAAUUCCACCCCAAGUUCUCACUAAUGUCUUGCCUAGAGCCCCUAAUGGGAUCAACAUAAUACAUGGUUGUUUGGGAAAAAUUUCUGUAACCUUCCUGCAAAUCAAUGGAUGAGGAUGUCCCAUAGAAUCCAUGAAAUAAAUCCUGCCAGAAUGAAGCACUGUAUGAGAUCUGGAACUUCAGAUGAACUGAUCAUUUUGUUGCAAACAUGGGAGAACUAUCUAACUCGUCAGGUUUCCCUUUUUACCUUGGCUGCUAGGAAACUUAGAGUUUGAAUUCAUCACCCAGAGGCAGCCCCAACUUCAGAUGAAGUGCUGUAGUGAACAGAAUACACAUACUUUGGAUCCAGAGAGCCUAAACUUGAGCCUCAGGCAAUGCUCCUGUCAGCAAGACAUUCAAACUUCCCUGGACCUUAAACACUCCCGGGUCACCUCUGUUUUCCAGCCUGGCCUGGCCUGGCCUGCAUUUCCUCAUCCUUUUCAGUACCAUCUCAUCCCUCACUAAUCCCACUAUGGAGCCUCUGUCCCCAGGGGGUAAAGCACAGCCUGUGGGGUUGUGGGGAGCUAGAGUCACUCUAGAAUGGCUCACAAGUCCCCAGAGACCCAGGGACUUCAAAAUAAAUGAGUCAACCAGAA
This is a long non-coding RNA of Lemur catta (Ring-tailed lemur), 1483 nucleotides long. RefSeq lists it as uncharacterized. NCBI's taxonomy places the organism in Eukaryota, Metazoa, Chordata, Mammalia, Primates, Lemuridae. The record is from RefSeq and is a predicted model, not a curated record. The transcript has 4 exons.